Petromyzon marinus (sea lamprey) is the source of this 274-nucleotide non-coding RNA. The record is from RefSeq and is a predicted model, not a curated record. NCBI's taxonomy places the organism in Eukaryota, Metazoa, Chordata, Hyperoartia, Petromyzontiformes, Petromyzontidae.
GUGGGUGCGGCUGUUAAAGAGUGCAGGGACUUGGGCUUCGCAGUGACAGACAUUGACAAGGCACAAGCUGGAACACACCGAGAGACGGGCAGCAGCAGCAGCAGUGAAAUACUUGAGACAGACUGACUGAAAUUGAGAGUUAGACAGGGACAGACGCAGAUUUAAUUGACGAAAAGGUUGGACAACGUCUAUCAUCAUAUUCGAAACAUUUGUUGCGGCACAGAAAGUAGAACAAUCCACCUCAAUAAGAAUUACAAGCAACGCACAAGUUGUU